AAAAGUUGAGCCUGGUCUGUGGUUGUUGCAAUAGGCAGGGGAUUUUAAAAAGUUGAGCCUGGUCUGUGGUUGUUGCAAUAGGCAGGGGGUUUUAAAAAGUUGAGCCUGGUCUGUGGUUGUUGCAAUAGGCAGGGGAUUUUAAAAAGUUGAGCCUGGUCUGUGGUUGUUGCAAUAGGCAGGGGAUUUAAAAAGUUGAGCCUGGUCUGUGGUUGUUGCAAUAGGCAGGGGAUUUUAAAAAUUGAGCCUGGUCUGUGGUUGUUGCAAUAGGCAGGGAUUUUAAAAAGUUGAGCCUGGUCUGUGGUUUUGCAAUAGGCAGGGGAUUUUAAAAGUUGAGCCUGGUCUGUGGUUGUUGCAAUAGGCAGGGGAUUUU
Molecule: long non-coding RNA, 370 nt
Organism: Oncorhynchus tshawytscha (Chinook salmon)
Lineage: Eukaryota; Metazoa; Chordata; Actinopteri; Salmoniformes; Salmonidae
Source: Ensembl